This 253-nucleotide ribosomal RNA is filed under the name uncultured bacterium. Its description in RNAcentral is "partial 16S ribosomal RNA". It matches the Rfam family "Bacterial small subunit ribosomal RNA", at positions 524 to 776 of the family's 1533-position model. The record is from RNAcentral.
UACAGAGGGGGCAAGCGUUAUUCGGAAUUAUUGGGCGUAAAGCGCACGUAGGCGGUUUGUUAUGUCGGAUGUGAAAGCCCUUGGCUCAACUGAGGAAGUGCAUCCGAAACUGGCAAGCUAGAGUAUGUAAGAGGGUCGCGGAAUUCCCGGUGUAGAGGUGAAAUUCGUAGAUAUCGGGAGGAACACCGGUGGCGAAGGCGGCGACCUGGGACAAUACUGACGCUGAGGUGCGAAAGCGUGGGGAGCAAACAGG